UAUAAAAACAUUUCCAUCUGUUAUGAAUAGAUGGUAGCGCCUGCCCAAUGUUAUUAUCAAUGGCCGCAGUAUUCUGACUGUGCUAAGGUAGCAUAAUUAGUUGCCUCAUAAUUAGGGGAUUGUUUGAAUGGUUUAACCAGGUGAGUUUGCCUAGAUAGGGGCUUUAUUCGAAAUUGAUUUCCUGGUGCAGAGUCCAGGGAUUUGUAAUAAGACGGAAAGACCCCGAGAGCUUGAUAAUUACUUAUUUACUUGGGGCAAGGGCGUAUCUUUUAUAUGCUUUGCGAUCCUUAAGGAUAGAGGUUUAAGUUACCUCGGGGAUAACUAGGUAAGAAACGAGGAGAGAUCAUAUCGGUUCGUUUGUU
This 362-nucleotide ribosomal RNA is filed under the name Opecoelidae sp. KMD-2003. RNAcentral's name for it is "partial 16S ribosomal RNA". It matches the Rfam family "Bacterial large subunit ribosomal RNA", at positions 1806 to 2518 of the family's 2925-position model. Lineage: Eukaryota; Metazoa; Platyhelminthes; Trematoda; Plagiorchiida; Opecoelidae. The record is from RNAcentral.